Mirounga angustirostris (Northern elephant seal) is the source of this 7109-nucleotide RNA transcript. It is a transcript of the gene named solute carrier family 9 member B1, with no coding region annotated. Lineage: Eukaryota; Metazoa; Chordata; Mammalia; Carnivora; Phocidae. The transcript has 17 exons. The record is from RefSeq and is a predicted model, not a curated record.
CACCCCCACCCCCACCCCCCCGCCCCCAGCGCGGCGCGUGGCGAACGCGGCGGUUGCUGGGCGCCAGGGCCGCUCCCGGGGUGGCGAGGGAUGCCGAAGGAAUUGUAGGAAGUCCUAUUGGAAAUACCCUUAAGCAAUAUUUCACUUACAAAGAAGAGAUGCAGUGGUAAAGCAUUACAAGCAAAAAAACCCAAAAAUGCAUGGGAGAACAAUUAACAGUUUAAUGUGACUGAAAUGUAGAAUCAAGAGAACUAGAGAGAAAGCCAUGAUAGUUUGAUGCCAUAUCGUGGAAAACCAUGGAUUCUGGGGGAGAGAAAUAAAGAAUGAUUUUAAAGUAUUUAACUAAACCGCAGAGUGAAUCAUCCAUAUUUGGAGAACUAAGACUUGGCCAUAAAUUUUGCUGCAUGUACACCACAGAAUCACAAAAUGAACAUCUGGAGGAUAAAAACACCUCAUCAUCUACAACUCCUCAGAUCCUCAAAGAUAGUAGUAUUAGUGAACAUGAAGAAACUAAGGAAACUGUCUUGUCACAAACAGAGGAAACAAAACCACAGAUGGAAAAGACGUACUCUUGUCCCCCACAAGGAAAAUUGAAUAAACUUAUUACAAAUGGAAUAAAUGCUUCUCUCAGGGAAGUACAAAUCAAAACCACAAUGAGAUACUACCUCACACCUGUCAGAAUGGCUAAAAUUAACAACACACAAGAAACAAGGGGUGUUGAUGAGGAAGCAGAAAAAGGAGAAUCCUCUUGCACUGUUGAUGGAAAUGCAAAACUGGUGCAUCCACUCUGGAAAACAGUAUGGAGGUUCCUCAAAAAGUUAAAAAUAGAACUACUCUACGAUCCAGCAAUUACAAUACUAGGAGUUGCAUUUUUUAUGGCAUGGUGUGUAGUCUGGUCAUUCUCAGGCCCUGAAGUUCUCCCUGGUGGAAAUUUAUUUGGACUAUUAAUUAUCUUUUAUAGUGCCAUUAUUGGGGGGAAACUUUUGGAACUCAUUAGAAUACCUUCAGUGCCUCAACUUCCACCUCUUCUUGGGAUGUUACUGGCUGGUUUUACUGUCAGGAAUGUUCCAUUCCUCAGUAAUUACAUCCAUGUUAAUAACACGUGGUCUUCAACUUUAAGAACCACUGCCCUUACCGUUAUCCUAAUACAAGCUGGGCUUGGACUCGAUCCACAGGCUUUGAGGCAUUUGAAGAGAGUUUGUUUAAGGUUGGCUAUUGGUCCCUGCCUCAUGGAGGCAUGUUCAACUGCUGUUGUUUCCCACUUCCUUAUGAAUUUUCCCUGGCAAUGGGGAUUUCUAUUGGGUUUUGUACUAGGUGCUGUCUCUCCUGCUGUGGUUGUCCCUUCCAUGCUCCUUUUGCAAGAACAUGGAUAUGGCAUUAAUAAAGGCAUCCCAACCUUACUGAUAGCUGCUAGCAGUUUGGAUGACAUCAUAGCAAUCACUGGAUUCAAUACAUGCUUGAGCAUAGUCUUCUCCUCAGGUGGUAUACUUAAUAAUGUCCUUGCGUCUUUUCGGGAUGUACUUAUUGGCGCGCUGGCAGGAGCUGUUUUGGGAAUUUUUGUUCAGUAUUUUCCAAGUGGAGAUCAGACAAAACUGCCACUGAAGAGAGCUUUCCUUAUUUUGAGUAUGUGUGUUACUGCUGUCUUGGGAAGCCAUCAUAUUGGUUUACAUGCAGCUGGAGGAUUAUGCACAUUAGCAUUAACUUUUGUUGCAGGGAUAAAUUGGUCCACAGAAAAGGUUAAAGUCCAAAGAAUUAUUAAAACUACAUGGUAUAUUUUUCAACCCCUUCUUUUUGGCUUGGUUGGAUCAGAAGUAUCUGUUGCAUCUCUUCAAUCAAAUGCUAUUGGCAUUUGUGUUGCUACUAUGAGUCUGGCACUAUUGGUUCGAAUUUCUUUUACAUUUCUAUUGAUGUGUUUUGCUGGCUUUAGUUUUAAGGAGAAAAUAUUUAUUGCUUUAUCAUGGAUGCCCAAAGCUACAGUCCAGGAGCAUGUGCACCCCAAUGUUCAUAGCAGCAAUGUCCACAAUAGUCAAACUGUGGAAGGAGCUGAGAUGCCCUUCAACAGAUGAAUGGAUAAAGAAGAUGUGGUCCAUAUAUACAAUGGAAUAUUACUCAGCCAUCAGAAAGGAUGAAUACCCACCAUUUGCAUCGACAUGGAUGGAACUGGAGGGGAUUAUGCUAAGUGAAGUAGGCUCCAUGCAUAGUGUGGAGCCCAACGUGGAACCUGAGCUCACAACCCUGAGAUCAAGACCCGAGCUGAGAUCAAGAGUUGGACACUUAACUGACCCACCCAGUAGCUCCUGACUUGCUCCUGGUACCUGGUAGAGAUGGAACACCUGACCAUGGGACAUCAAGUGACUGCGUGAAUAAUCAACUACCCAUCAUGAACUGCUGUUACCUGAUUCACCAAACCAUACAACUGGAUGGGCGCAACAGCAGUCCACUCCCUACAACACUGGCAACACCAUCACAACUAAACUGAAUGAGCAGGUGACUCAUUCGAGUAACACCUGCCCAUAUUCCUUCAGCACCUCUCCCCCAGUCCAUACAAACUGGCUUCAAAAGAGUUCCUCUGACCAAUUAAUGAAGAGAAAAAUAAGAAUCUUUUUUUAAAGAUAUUUAUUUACUCAUGAGAGACAGAGAGAGGCAGAGGGAGAAGCAGGCUCCCUGUGGAGCAGGGAGUCAGAUGUGGGACUCGAUCUCAGGACCCUGGGAUUGACGUGAGCCGGAGGCAGCCACUUAACCGACUGAGCCCCCCAGGCACCCCUUGGUCUUGUUAAUUCACAAAAGGAUCUGCAGUGAGUUGGCAAUACUGGGGUGUGAGUGCUCACUAUACAACACCAUCACUCAUUAGUGGCCCUGAAACACAACAGUAAAGGGAAAUCCUUUCAUUGAGAAGAACUUUAUAAGACAAUGGCCUGAGGUAAGGGUAAACACUGGUUCAUUGUUAGUGGCUUAUGAGUUGACGGGCUGGACAAGAACUUAGAACAAACUGGAAAACUGAUUCAGUUUACGGGGCCGACCAGGAGACAAUAACCUGCAAAUUUAGGAUGCUGACCUACAGAAUAAAGUAUAUGCUUAACCCCAGUAAUCAGUAUAUAGUGCCAUCUUUCCCAGAAAGUACACAUAGUGGAGAUGAGCCUGGCCCCUCUAUUUUAUACAUGUCUAAUUUUUUAAAAAAUACUGGCCGCAUGUUUUCUGAAUUUGGUGAAAAGCAUGACAUUACAGAUCCACACAGCUUAGUGAAGCACAAGUAGGAAAAUUACAGUGAAAAUCACACCAAUGCAUGUUAUAGUCAAACUAAUAAAAGACAAACAUCUUAAAAGCAUUCAGAGAAAGUACACAUUACACACAAGAAGGCUAUUAUAUGCAUUUAUUAUAAAGUUUUUUAAUUGAAGCAUAACACAAGUAUAGAAAAGUACACAAAUAUAAUUAUUUAGCAUGACUUACCACAAAGUGAAGAUAACUAUGUGAUCAGCACCCACUUCAUUAGCUUCCACACUAAUAUGUCCCACAUUUAAUGAAUAUACCACAUUUACCCAUUCUGUUGAUAGCCGCUGGAGAUAUUUCCAUUCGGGGCUAUUAUAAGGACUGCUACUAUGAACAUUCUUGUGUACAUCUUUUGGUGUACACAUGUAUGCAUUUUUGUUGGGUUCUCUAUUAUACCUAAUAACCCAUUUGAAGAAUUUUUGGUCCCUGAAACUUUGGACUUAGUGGUUUUGGAGGUCUUAGUAUUGAAGAGAGGAAUGUUUCCUAGGAAAUCUUCCUAGGAAAAUGGUUUCAGUGAAUUGGAAAUGGACACUGCUUACCGGCAGGUUUGGGCUUUUUCUGUCACUAACCAACAAAGAAGGGGAUCACUCUACUGGCAGGGUGAGGAAUCCCUUUUAUCUUUUUUUUUUUUUUUUUUUUUAAGAUUUAUUUAUUAGAGCGGAGGGCGGGGGGGGGGGGGGAGAGAGAAACCUAAGCAGACUCCACGCUGAGCAUGGAGCCCAAAUUGGGGCUAGAUCCCACAAUCCUGAGAUCACAACCUGAGCCAAAACCAAGAGUCGGAUGCUUAACUGACUGCAACACCUAGGUGCCCUGGGAUCCCUUUUAACGGGGAAAUUGCAUCACUGCUAUACAGUGGAAUAAAUAGGACUAUAUAUGGAAUGUAAGAGUAUUCUCUGAAAUUGUUUGUAUUCUCAGCCAGUAGUCCAAUAAAAAACUAGGGUAACCCAAAAAGGACUUCCACUGGGACUAGUAAGAAUGAAUGUUGGAGGGUGCCUGGGUGGCUCAGUUGGUUAAGCGACUGCCUUCAGCUCAGGUCAUGAUCUCAGGGUCCUGGGAUCAAGCCCCGCAUCGGGCUCCCUGCUCGGCGGGAAGCCUACUUCUCCUCUCCCACUUCCCCUGCUUGUGUUCCCUCUCUCGCUGUCUCUGUCAAAAAAAAAAAAAAAUCUUUAAAAAAAAAAAAAGAAUGAACGUUGGAGCACCCCACCUGGUAAAAAAUCCUAUCAGGGUGUACCUGGGUGGCUCAGUCUGUUAAGCAUCUGACUCUUGAUUUCAGCUCAGGUCAUGAUCUCAGGGUCGUGAGAUCGAGUCCUGCCUCAGGCUCCACGCUCAGCAUGAAGUCAGCUUAGGAUACUCUCUCCCCCUCUCCCUCUGCUCUUCUCUCCACUCUCUCUCCCUUUGCUCCUCCUCCUUCUCUCUCAAAUAAAUAAAAUCUUAAAAAAGAAAAAAAAUCCCAUUCAGGUGAGGUACAAGCAAAAAGUGAGAGAAACUAAGAAUGGAUAGUGAAAGAGAACUAUGUUUAUGAAUCCAGGCCUCAUGACCAGCUUAAAAAGCAGUUUUAUGAGACUGUUUUGGAACUUGUUUCUUUUCUCCCAUACCAUAUAUGAAGACUUCUGGGGUGGCUGAUGUUUAUGGUUUCAGGACUGAAUGACACCACCCCAUGAUUUGUAGCUGAUGGGAGGAGAUUGCAUAGUGGUAAAGAAUGAGGUAAGCAUAUUUAUUCCCUUUGGCUCCCUCCAGUAGAGGCUACCUGGAACUGGAUGUAUACCUCGACCUUAGGUCAGUGCCUCUCUCAAAGUGAACUCUUCACAAUUCUCUCUCCUUCCUGGUUCUGAUUUUUUCCUCUUCUCUUAAGAGUCUAUCCUUGUAAUUCUCUUAUACCCUACACACACAUAUUUGUAAUUAGUCCCUUUGUAAGUAAACUUUUAAAUGAUCCUGAGUGUAUCAUUUGUUUCCUGUUAGGACUCUUGGACACAUGAACUUUUUUUUUUCUAUGACCAACAUGGGGCUUGAACUCAUGACCCUGAAAUCAAGAGUCCCGUGCUCUACCAACUAAGCCGGCCAGGCGCCUGUGAACUUUUUAUCUCUUGUAUUGCUUCUUGCUUAAAAUCUACUUGGAUUUAGCAUAAUCACACCAUCUUUGUUAGUUUUUGCAUGAUACACAUCUUUUUACUUUAAGCUUUUCUGCAUUCCAUUUAAGAUUUGUCUCUUGAAACACGUUAAAAGUAUACCUUUAUAAGUCCAAGACAGUCUUUGUCUUUGAAUUGGGAUAAUCAGUUUGCAUUUAAUGUAAUUACUGAUAGAUUGGCUUUAAAGCUGCCAUCCAGCUGUUUUUGUCUCACCUGUUCUUCAUUCUUUUUUCUCUACUUUCUUGGGGAUUUUUCAAGUUUUGUUUUUUUAAUUUCAUUGUUUCCUUUUGUUUAGCUUUUUGGUUUUAUGUUCUUUUAAUAUUCUUAAUUCCUGUGGAAAUUAGAACGUACAUCCUUGAUUUUUAAAAGCCUAGGAUAUAUUAGUAUUUUAUCCACUUCCUGGACAAUGGGAACAGCUUGGACCACUUUAAGUCUGUUUACCUUCUCCUCAGUUACCGUGUUGUUACGUUUUUAAAUCUGUAUGUUUUUAACAUCACAAUAUAUUAGCAUUGUUUUGUAAAGUUACUAUUUAUUGAGAUUUACCUAUAUAUUUUUCCUUCUCAUUGCUCAUCUCUUCCAUAAUCUGAGAGCAUCCAUCUGAGAUCAUUUCUCUGCCCAAGGUCCACUCUUUCUUAUAAGGCAAAAAUGCUGGUGACAAAUUCUGUUUCUGUUUGUUUGAAAAUGUCUUUAUUUUGCCUCAAUAUUUGAAAGUUAUAUUGUUUGAACGUAAAUUCUAAGUUGAUAUUUUCCUUUGGUACUCUAAAGAUAGCUCAUUUUGGUUGCAAAGCAGUGGUCUUACUGUCAUUCAUUUGAUAAUUUGUCUUUUUCCUCUGGAUGCUUAAAAUUUUUCUCUUUGGUUUUCAGCAGUUUUACUAUGAUGUGCUUAGCUGUGGUUUUUGCCUUUUUCUAGUUUACAGUGUUUCUUGAAUCCAAGGCAUGAUGCCUUUUACUUACUUUAGACAUCUCUUCAGUAUCACUUUGUUAUAUUUUCUCAUUCCUCUCCUUUUCGGUCUUAAUUAUAACUAUAUUAAACUUCUUUUUUAUUCUAUACCAUAAGUCUCUUCCACUUUUUAAAAAAUUUUUUCCAUAUUUUCAUCCUUUUGUUUCUGUAAAUCUGAAUAUUUUCUUCUGAACUUCAUCCAGUUCCCUCAUUUUGUCUUUAGCUCUGUAUAAUUGGCUAUUAAGUCCAUCCACUGGGUUUUUAAUGUUAGCAAUCUUUGAACAAUAGAAUUUCCAUUUGUGUUUUCAUUCUCUACACACAUUCUUAUUCUUAGAUUAUAAGUUCCUGAGCAUUUUAAACAGCAUUUUAAAGUCUUUGUUUCAUAAUCCCCGUUGGGUUUGUUUCUAUGAUCUGUUGCUUCUCUGCUUUUGUCGUACCUUCUCAUAUACCUGAUUAUUUUUUCUGUGUGCUGGAUAUUAUAUAUAAAAGAUUGCAGAAGUAUUUUGAAGCUCUUGAUAGCAGUACUUUCCUCUAGAGAGGAUUUCUUUUGCUUCCGUUAGGCAGCUCAACUGGGGCUUUUAGCAGACUCAGAUCACUACAGUCCAGUUAGGGCCAGAUAGGAUUCAAUCCCUGCCAGUUCUGAUCUAUUUUCAGUUCACUUUGACUGCUAGGGUACAGCCCUUCAGGAUCUCAAAUGAAAGGCUGAGAUGUUUAUCUCUUCCUUGGUGAGCCCUCAACUCCAGUUUUUCAACCUCCCUGCCCCCUUUCCUAGGCCC